GCCCGCCAAAUCACUACGAGUGAAAACUUAAAACUUAAAAGACUUGACGGUACUUCACACCCAACCUAGAGGAGCCUGUCUAUUAACCGAUAAUCCACGAUUAACCCUGCCCCUUCUGGCCACCCAGCCUAUAUACCGCCGUCGCCAGCUUACCUUGUGAAAGAAACCAAGUAAGCCAAAUAGUACUACACUAACACGACAGGUCAAGGUGUAGCUCAUGAAGAGGACCAAGAUGGGCUACAUUUUCUAACCCAGACCAAACGGACAAAGCUAUGAAACCAGCUCUAAAAGGCGGAUUUAGCAGUAAGCCAAGAACAUAAUACUCAGCUGAAACCAAUGCAAUGAAGUGCGUACACACCGCCCGUCAUCCCUGCCACAACAAACUAACUCUACAUAAUAUACCACACCACACACAAACCAGGGCAAGUCGUAACACGGUAAGCGUACUGGAAAGUGCGCUUAGAAA
This 466-nucleotide ribosomal RNA is filed under the name Exiliboa placata. RNAcentral describes it as "partial 12S ribosomal RNA". It matches the Rfam family "Bacterial small subunit ribosomal RNA", at positions 867 to 1522 of the family's 1533-position model. Lineage: Eukaryota; Metazoa; Chordata; Lepidosauria; Squamata; Ungaliophiidae. The record is from RNAcentral.